Molecule: ribosomal RNA, 712 nt
Filed under: uncultured bacterium
Lineage: Bacteria
Description: bacterial SSU rRNA
Rfam family: Bacterial small subunit ribosomal RNA
Source: RNAcentral
AGCGGCGGACGGGUGAGUAACGCGUGGGUAACCUGCCCUAUACACACGGAUAACAUACCGAAAGGUAUGCUAAUACGAGAUAAUAUAAGAGAUUCGCAUGGAUUUCUUAUCAAAGCUGAGGCGGUAUAGGAUGGACCCGCGUCUGAUUAGCUAGUAGGUAAGGUAACGGCUUACCAAGGCGACGAUCAGUAGCCGACCUGAGAGGGUGAUCGGCCACAUUGGAACUGAGACACGGUCCAAACUCCUACGGGAGGCAGCAGUGGGGAAUAUUGCACAAUGGGCGAAAGCCUGAUGCAGCAACGCCGCGUGAGUGAUGAAGGCCUUCGGGCCGUAAAACUCUGUCCUCAAGGAAGAUAAUGACGGUACUUGAGGAGGAAGCCCCGGCUAACUACGUGCCAGCAGCCGCGGUAAUACGUAGGGGGCUAGCGUUAUCCGGAUUUACUGGGCGUAAAGGGUGCGUAGGUGGUCUCUUAAGUCAGGAGUGAAAGGCUACGGCUUAACCGUAGUAAGCUCUUGAAACUGGGAGACUUGAGUGCAGGAGAGGAAAGUGGAAUUCCUAGUGUAGCGGUGAAAUGCGUAGAUAUUAGGAGGAACACCAGUAGCGAAAGGCGGCUUUCUGGACUGUAACUGACACUGAGGCACGAAAGCGUGGGGAGCAAACAGGAUUAGAUACCCUGGGUAGUCCACGCCGUAAACGAUGAGUACUAGGUGU